Molecule: non-coding RNA, 21 nt
Filed under: Caenorhabditis elegans
Lineage: Eukaryota; Metazoa; Nematoda; Chromadorea; Rhabditida; Rhabditidae
Source: RNAcentral
UAUUAGUUAUCUACACUUUCA